Molecule: long non-coding RNA, 1720 nt
Filed under: Malus domestica (apple)
Lineage: Eukaryota; Viridiplantae; Streptophyta; Magnoliopsida; Rosales; Rosaceae
Description: long non-coding RNA (MDOM_LNC012539)
Source: RNAcentral
CCUCAGCUCAAAGGACUACUUACACUAUUCCAACCAUUAGAGUUACUUGCUUGACAUGUGAGUAGACUUCCAUGCAAGUACUCUCGUUCGAUUGUGUUCAGUGAACUCAUUCCCUUAAUAAGCACCUACAUACUUGUCUUAGUGUCACUACACGAAUGGGAUGAGACUUUCCAUCCUUCUAAUUGAAGCGGACAUAGUAUGUACCGGUCUAUGCAUUGUUAGUAUCCCUCCGACAAUCUUAUGACCAGGAACCUUUUUGGACAUGAUGGUUAUGGGAAGAAGGUCUCUGUAGUCUAACAUCAUUAGAUUACUUCUUCCAUCAAUCCAUUGUCCAUGGAUUCACUAUUUAGGACAUAUAUCGUUUAUAGAGAUAGUCCUAAUUAGUAUCUUUGCCAUUUGAUGAAUAAGAAUCAUCCAUACAUCCAUUCAUUGUCCUGAAAGGUUUCUUCCAAAGAUUGACUUUCAAGGCAUAUCUCCAACACUCCACACAUGACACACUUGCAUACAAAUCGAUUUCCAGUUGCUUUUCCAAUAAACCAUGAACCUCAACGCCCUAGAUUAAUCGUGAACAGCACUAAUUAACCCUCAGAUUUUCCUUAAGUCAUUGAAUUGGAUGGACAACGCAUCGGCAACCAAAUUAUUCUUUAAUAUUUCCCUACACAAAUUGAAUUGGAUGGACAACGCAUCGGCAACCAAAUUAUUAUUCAAUAGUUCCCUACACAAACAACAUAAUAGAGAUACAAUCAAAGAUCAAGAAGCUUUGUGAAAAUCAUAAGCAUUGACAAGGCAUUCGUAACAAUGACAGCAUGAUACUCCUACCAGGAAUUCACUUAACACGAUUGUGAUUAGCAACCUCCACUACUUGUGAAUAUAAGUUCAUAAAUAUUAGGUGAAAUUCCCUUAUAUUCUAGCAUUAAAUCCCUGCAUGCAAACUAAGUGUGCACCCUUAAUCAACAAACAAGAAUAAGUUCUGAAUCAAACAGUUAAGUAAAUUGCAUUCACGAUUCAUGAAAUCACAACUGGAAGUAAUCAAUUCAUAUUGCAAAUAUGUUCAUGGCUUUGAAUUUCCCUUAGCUAAAACGAGUUUAGCUCCUCAUGUUUGCAAUUAAACAAAGACAAUUAAAUUUGUUUGUACCAUACUUGACCAAUCCUUAAACUACUGAGCACCGGUCAACGUUAUACCGUCAAGGACCCAGAAGAGUUUCCCUCUAACCAGGAGGCCAAUCAUAGCACGACACGUGUCGAUAUCAGAAGCCAAUCAUAGCACGACACGUGUCAACAUCAGAAGCCAAUCACAACACAAUGUCAGAAUGAAACUAGAAACUUUCUUCUAUAAAUAUUGAUCAUUCUCUCACAAUAUUUCCUAAUGCCAUUUGUACUAAAUCAUUCAUUUGUACUCACUAAAGGAGAGCUUGAACCUAUGUACUUGUGUAAACCCUUCACAAUUAAUGAGAACUCAUUUAUUCCGUGGACGUAGCCAAUCUGGGUGAACCACGUACAUCUUAUGUUUGCUUCCCUGUUUCUAUCCAUUUACAUACUUAUCCACACUAGUGACCGAAGCAAUCUAGCGAAGGUCACAAACUUAACACUUUCUGUUGUACCAAAGUCCUCACUGAUUUUGUGCAUCAACAUUUGGCGCCGUUUGUGGGAACGACACUUAAUCCCACUCUCUUCAGCUUUGUCAAGCUGGUUUCCACCAUUCGUACACCCUCUUUUGACC